CUGUCAUGGGGCUGUCUUCUCAGYGUCCCCCUUCGUUUAUCCAUUUUGGUAGCUCGGGGUGCCUCGGAUUUGGUUGCCUGUGCGGUCUUACCGUAGUUGGUAUCACAAUUGUCCCGCUGUUGCGUAUUUUGCUUGCCCUGUUGACGCUAUGCAUCGACGGGCGGCCGAGGUGUUGGCAAAUUCCGUGCGCUGCGAUGCACUUUGUGUGUCGGAUCUGCUUAUCGGAUGUUUGCCGGGUCUCACGGAUAUCAGUCCCUACGUUGAGCGGUCUGCGGGUUUCAAGCCUGCAGGCUGAUGGUGUUGCCCGUACACAUAAAUUUGUUGCCCAUGUCUUCACCGACAUGUCGUGCUCUCUCGGCAUUCAUGCCGAGGGAACACACUCGGCGCAUGCUCGUGUGUAUGUGCAUAUCCUUAACCGACCC
RNAcentral lists this unclassified non-coding RNA (422 nucleotides) under Cyperus esculentus. RNAcentral describes it as "contains 5' external transcribed spacer, ETS". Lineage: Eukaryota; Viridiplantae; Streptophyta; Magnoliopsida; Poales; Cyperaceae. The record is from RNAcentral.